RNAcentral lists this long non-coding RNA (2074 nucleotides) under Equus caballus (horse). Its description in RNAcentral is "lncRNA (ENSECAG00000046436.1)". Lineage: Eukaryota; Metazoa; Chordata; Mammalia; Perissodactyla; Equidae. The record is from RNAcentral.
UUUUUUUUCCUCCUCAAAGCCCCAGUACGUAGUUGUAUAUCAUAGCUGUAAGUCAUUCUAGUUCUUCUAUGUGGGAUGCCGCCACAGCAUGGCUUGAUGAGCAGUGUGUAGGUCCGCGCCCAGGAUCCAAACUGGCUAACCACAGGCCACUGAAGCAGAGUGCACAAACUUAUCCACUAUGCCACUGGGCCAGCCCCCAAAUUUCCCCUUUUUGUAAGGACACCAGCCAUAUUGGAUUAGGGCCCACCCUAAUGACCUCUGCUUAACUGAUUACAUCUGCAAAAACCCUAUUUCCAAAUAAGGUCACAUUCUGAGGUAUUUGGUGUUAGGACCCCAACAGAGGAGUCUUGGGAGGACACGGUCCAGCCCACGGCAGGUGACACAGGAUGAGAAAGGAGGGGCCAUGACUUUGGAGGCCUUGCUAAGAAACACGAGCUUUGCAGAAUGGAGACAAACACUACAGGGACUGGGGCCACCACACCCGAGGAGGUCUAGGGGGCAAAAGGGGGCACCCCCUUCAGAGUGAAGGACAAAUAUUGCACCUUGCACCCUCUGCACUAACAAGUACAUCUGACGGCCUCUUCUGAUUCUGGAGGUGUGCGUCCUCCACCACAGACACCGUUCCACCCACUCACCACGUGGAACCCAGAGAGCUCGAGGGUGUGGGCUCAGGGCAACAGGGGGCUCUGCGGCUGGCCCAGCAGAGGGCAGUGGACCUGCCAGACCCCCCCAGUAUCAGGGGCAUCCGUUAGGGUGCUGGAGGAUGGAAAAUAGCACCAUGGAAAGGGUGCGGCUCCCCACAGGAAAAUCAGGGCAUGCCUCCACAAGCCGCGCAUCCCUGCAGGAAACAUUGUUGGAGCCGCAGUGCUGGGCAACGAGUGGACUGUGGCUGCGGCAGAACUUAGGCCGUGGGACAUCGAGACGUCUGCCCCGGAUGCUCCGCGUCACAGGGGCCAGGCCAGGCAGCAGCCGCCAGGACGGAAGUGGCAGGUGCAGGACCAGGUGCAUUUCAGAGGAUUUUUCUCAAGAACUGAAGCUUCAGGAAGCCUCUGUGUCAUGUUGGAUGUAUCCUAGAGUGGAGUCAUUUUAAGAAAACUGACUGCCUGGAAAGUGGUCCCCAGGGAGUGAACGCUCUGGACAGCUGAGCCUCAGGGAGCCGUUGGAAGCACUUCUUGCCAGAAGUCGAGUCCGUCCUGGACGCGGGGGAAGCGGUGUCUUUUCCAGGAGGAGCGCUGCCUCCCAGCUGCGCCUGCGACUUCCCUGCUGUCCUGAGGCGCUGGCCUUGGAAGGACGCCCAACAGCCUCCCGUGGAAGGACAACCGCCCAGGGCGCCCUCUGCUGCCUCCAGAUGUGAGCACGUGAUCCCGGGCUGCUGUGCUGGGCUUUCCAGAUGCAUCAUCAGCGCCCGUGUCAGCGGGGACCCGGGGCUACCCUGCCUCCUGAGGACGCGGGUGGGAGGCCCAGGCCCCCUGCAAGGGCACAGGCGUCUCUCCCGCUCGGGGUGCCCACGCCUGCGCUCCACACUGCAGCCCUGCCUCUCAGGGGACUCCCAUCUGCAAGAAAAAUGUCUCAACACGUCUCCUCCUGUCCCACGUCCCUCCAGCUGUCACCACAGUUAGUCUCCUCUCCUCUGUGCCCAAACUUUGUGAAAGAUGUGUCACUUUGCAUCACUCUCCCAGCCACCCUCUGCGGCUGGCUCCACACCCGGGGUUCCCCACAACCCGGCCUCCUGGGCUCCUGCCGAGUGCCCACUGUCAGCCACUCACCUCCACCCGGUGCUACACACAAUGCAAGUCCAGUGUGUCCAGGAUCAAACUCGCUUUCUCCUCCCACCUGCUCAUCCACCUGGCCCCCUGCUGGCCUCCUGGGUGACCAUGCCCCUCAGCCCCACACCAAACCUGCAUCUCCUCCUGCCCAGUCCACUCCCACCUGAUUGGGCAACGACCAUCUUAUGCCUCGAUCGCUCCACCAGCCUAUUACACACAUUUGAUAUUUUGAUUGCGUUUCCUAUUAAUGUAAAACAAAGUUAAUAGAACUCAGAAAUUACAGAAAUGCACAAGUUAGAAGGGAAAAA